This 427-nucleotide ribosomal RNA is filed under the name uncultured bacterium. Its description in RNAcentral is "bacterial SSU rRNA". It matches the Rfam family "Bacterial small subunit ribosomal RNA", at positions 355 to 774 of the family's 1533-position model. The record is from RNAcentral.
UGGGGAAUAUUGGACAAUGGGGGCAACCCUGAUCCAGCAAUGCCGCGUGUGUGAAGAAGGCCUUCGGGUUGUAAAGCACUUUUAUCGGGAACGAAACAUUGUCGGCCAAUACCCGGCAAGACUGACGGUACCCGAGGAAUAAGCACCGGCUAACUCCGUGCCAGCAGCCGCGGUAAUACGGAGGGUGCGAGCGUUAAUCGGAAUUACUGGGCGUAAAGCGUGCGCAGGCGGUUUGUUAAGUCUGCUGUGAAAUCCCCGAGCUCAACUUGGGAAUUGCAGUGGAUACUGGCAAGCUGGAGUACGGUAGAGGAAGGUGGAAUUCCCGGUGUAGCAGUGAAAUGCGUAGAGAUCGGGAGGAACAUCUGUGGCGAAGGCGACUGCCUGAACCAGCACUGACACUGAGGCACGAAAGCGUGGGGAGCAAACA